This 226-nucleotide unclassified non-coding RNA is filed under the name Hevea brasiliensis (rubber tree). Lineage: Eukaryota; Viridiplantae; Streptophyta; Magnoliopsida; Malpighiales; Euphorbiaceae. The record is from RNAcentral.
GUUAUUGUUCCAAGAUUUAUGUGGCAUGCAAUUUGCCAUUAUUGAGAAUCAUGAAGCAGAAUUCUACUUCCUUGAGGAAUUCGGGUUUAUAUACAAGCCCAGCAACACCAGAAUAUGGAGAUAAUAAUGUUAGAGGAUUUCAGAAGGGAUGGAGUUCUGAACGAGUCCCGUUGCCGACUAACAGCGGCAGGAGGCAUAUUAGUACUACUGCAUUGAUGCCUUUCAA